RNAcentral lists this transfer RNA (91 nucleotides) under Gammaproteobacteria bacterium. RNAcentral's name for it is "tRNA-Ser". It matches the Rfam family "tRNA". Rfam says of the family: Transfer RNA (tRNA) molecules are approximately 80 nucleotides in length. Their secondary structure includes four short double-helical elements and three loops (D, anti-codon, and T loops). Further hydrogen bonds mediate the characteristic L-shaped molecular structure. tRNAs have two regions of fundamental functional importance: the anti-codon, which is responsible for specific mRNA codon recognition, and the 3' end, to which the tRNAs corresponding amino acid is attached (by aminoacyl-tRNA synthetases). tRNAs cope with the degeneracy of the genetic code in two manners: having more than one tRNA (with a specific anti-codon) for a particular amino acid; and 'wobble' base-pairing, i.e. permitting non-standard base-pairing at the 3rd anti-codon position. RNAcentral also lists the same sequence under 2 other names. Lineage: Bacteria; Pseudomonadati; Pseudomonadota; Gammaproteobacteria. The record is from RNAcentral.
GGAGAGGUGGCUGAGUGGUUGAAAGCGCUCCCCUGCUAAGGGAGUAUGUGGUAAUCCCGCAUCGAGGGUUCGAAUCCCUCCCUCUCCGCCA